GCCACAUGGUCCAGCGACCAAAGGAGCAAUCCGCUGAAAGAUGGGCUCGCGUCUGAUUAGAUAGUUGGUGGGGUAACGGCCUACCAAGUCGACGAUCAGUAGCCGGACUGAGAGGUUGAACGGCCACAUUGGGACUGAGAUACGGCCCAGACUCCUACGGGAGGCAGCAGUGGGGAAUAUUGCACAAUGGGGGAAACCCUGAUGCAGCAACGCCGCGUGAAGGAUGACGGUUUUCGGAUUGUAAACUUCUGUUCUCGUUGACGAAGACAGUGACGGUAAACGAGGAGCAAGCUACGGCUAACUACGUGCCAGCAGCCGCGGUGAUACGUAGGUGGCAAGCGUUGUCCGGAAUUACUGGGUGUAAAGGGAGCGCAGGCGGGAGAGCAAGUCAGCUGUGAAAACCACGGGCUUAACCUGUGGACUGCAGUUGAAACUGUUCUUCUUGAGUGAAGUAGAGGUAAGCGGAAUUCCGAGUGUAGCGGUGAAAUGCGUAGAGAUUCGGAGGAACACCAGUGGCGAAGGCGGCUUACUGGGCUUUAACUGACGCUGAGGCUCGAAAGUGUGGGGAGCAAACAGGAUUAGAUACCCUGGUAGUCCACACCGUAAACGAUGAUUGCUAGGUGUGGGGGGUCUGACCCCUUCCGUGCCGCAGU
Molecule: ribosomal RNA, 653 nt
Filed under: uncultured bacterium
Lineage: Bacteria
Description: bacterial SSU rRNA
Rfam family: Bacterial small subunit ribosomal RNA
Source: RNAcentral